Molecule: ribosomal RNA, 556 nt
Filed under: Gymnosporangium globosum
Lineage: Eukaryota; Fungi; Basidiomycota; Pucciniomycetes; Pucciniales; Gymnosporangiaceae
Description: eukaryotic LSU rRNA
Rfam family: Eukaryotic large subunit ribosomal RNA
Source: RNAcentral
UAAGCGGAGGAAAAGAAACUAACAAGGAUUCCCCUAGUAACGGCGAGUGAAGAGGGAUCAGCCCAAAAUUGUAAUCUGGCUCUUUCAGAGUCUGAGUUGUAAUUUUAAGAACUGUUUUCUGCUCUGGACCAUGUACAAGUCUGUUGAAAUGCAGCAUCAUUGAGGGUGAGAAUCCUGUUCAUGAUAUGGACUACCAGGGCUUUAUGAUACAGUCUCUAAGAGUCGAGUUGUUUGGGAAUGCAGCUCAAAGUGGGUGGUAAAUUCCAUCUAAGGCUAAAUAUUGGUGAGAGACCGAUAGCAAACAAGUACCGUGAGGGAAAGAUGAAAAGAACUUUGGAAAGAGAGUUAACAGUACGUGAAAUUGUUAAAAGGGAAACAGUUGAAGUUAGACUUGUUGUUGUUGGUUCAGCUCUUUAAGGGUGUUUUCUGAUAAUUAACAAACCAACAUCAAUCUUUGGGUGUUGGAUAAGGGUCAUUGAAAUGUAGCAGUCUUGGCUGUGUUAUAGUCUUUGACUUGGAUACAAUGCUUGGGAUUGAGGAAUGCAGUAAGCCAUUU